GACGAACGCUGGCGGCGUGCUUAACACAUGCAAGUCGAACGGAAAGGCCCUGCUUUUGUGGGGUGCUCGAGUGGCGAACGGGUGAGUAACACGUGAGUAACCUGCCCUUGACUUUGGGAUAACUUCAGGAAACUGGGGCUAAUACCGGAUAGGAGCUCCUGCUGCAUGGUGGGGGUUGGAAAGUUUCGGCGGGUGGGGAUGGACUCGCGGCUUAUCAGCUUGUUGGUGGGGUAGUGGCUUACCAAGGCUUUGACGGGUAGCCGGCCCGAGAGGGUGGCCGGCCACAUUGGGACUGCGAUACGGCCCAGACUCCACCGGGAGGCAGCAGUGGGGAAUUGUGCACAAUGGGCGGAAGCCUGAUGCAGCAACGCCGCGUGCGGGAUGACGGCCUUCGGGUUGUAAACCGCUUUCGCCUGUGACGAAGCGUGAGUGACGGUAAUGGGUAAAGAAGCACCGGCUAACUACGUG
This 468-nucleotide ribosomal RNA is filed under the name uncultured bacterium. RNAcentral's name for it is "partial 16S ribosomal RNA". It matches the Rfam family "Bacterial small subunit ribosomal RNA", at positions 28 to 507 of the family's 1533-position model. The record is from RNAcentral.